Molecule: ribosomal RNA, 71 nt
Filed under: Trichostema lanatum
Lineage: Eukaryota; Viridiplantae; Streptophyta; Magnoliopsida; Lamiales; Lamiaceae
Description: partial 5.8S ribosomal RNA
Source: RNAcentral
AUCGAGUCUUUGAACGCAAGUUGCGCCCGAAGCCGUCACGCNGAGGGCACGUCUGCCUGGGCGUCACGCAU